GAUGAACGCUGGCGGCGUGCCUAAUACAUGCAAGUAGAACGCUGAAGGAAGGAGCUUGCUCUUUCCGGAUGAGUUGCGAACGGGUGAGUAACGCGUAGGUAACCUGCCUGGUAGCGGGGGAUAACUAUUGGAAACGAUAGCUAAUACCGCAUAACAGUAUAUGUUGCAUGAUAUCUACUUAAAAGGUGCAAUUGCACCACUACCAGAUGGACCUGCGUUGUAUUAGCUAGUUGGUGAGGUAACGGCUCACCAAGGCGACGAUACAUAGCCGACCUGAGAGGGUGAUCGGCCACACUGGGACUGAGACACGGCCCAGACUCCUACGGGAGGCAGCAGUAGGGAAUCGUCGGCAAUGGACGGAAGACUGACCGAGCAACGCCGCGUGAGUGAAGAAGGUUUUCGGAUCGUAAAGCUCUGUUGUAAGAGAAGAACGAGUGUGAGAGUGGAAAGUUCACACUGUGACGGUAUCUUACCAGAAAGGGACGGCUAACUACGUG
RNAcentral lists this ribosomal RNA (497 nucleotides) under uncultured bacterium. RNAcentral's name for it is "partial 16S ribosomal RNA". It matches the Rfam family "Bacterial small subunit ribosomal RNA", at positions 28 to 507 of the family's 1533-position model. The record is from RNAcentral.